UCCUACGGGGGGCAGCAGUGGGGAAUAUUGCACAAUGGGGGAAACCCUGAUGCAGCGACGCCGCGUGAGUGAGGAAGUAUUUCGGUAUGUAAAGCUCUAUCAGCAGGGAAGAAAAUGACGGUACCUGACUAAGAAGCCCCGGCUAACUACGUGCCAGCAGCCGCGGUAAUACGUAGGGGGCAAGUGUUAUCCGGAUUUACUGGGUGUAAAGGGAGCGUAGACGGAAUUGCAAGUCUGAAGUGAAAGGCAGGGGCUUAACCCCUGAACUGCUUUGGAAACUGCCAUGCUAGAGUGCUGGCGAGGUA
Molecule: ribosomal RNA, 305 nt
Filed under: uncultured bacterium
Lineage: Bacteria
Description: bacterial SSU rRNA
Rfam family: Bacterial small subunit ribosomal RNA
Source: RNAcentral